RNAcentral lists this ribosomal RNA (631 nucleotides) under uncultured fungus. RNAcentral describes it as "LSU rRNA". It matches the Rfam family "Eukaryotic large subunit ribosomal RNA", at positions 23 to 664 of the family's 3401-position model. The record is from RNAcentral. Lineage: Eukaryota; Fungi.
ACCCGCUGAACUUAAGCAUAUCAAUAAGCGGAGGAAAAGAAACCAACAGGGAUUGCCCUAGUAACGGCGAGUGAAGCGGCAACAGCUCAAAUUUGAAAUCUGGCUCUUUUAGAGUCCGAGUUGUAAUUUGCAGAGGGCGCUUUGGCGUUGGCAGCGGUCCAAGUUCCUUGGAACAGGACGUCACAGAGGGUGAGAAUCCUGUACGUGGUCGCUAACCUUCGCCGUGUAAAGCCCCUUCGACGAGUCGAGUUGUUUGGGAAUGCAGCUCUAAAUGGGAGGUAAAUUUCUUCUAAAGCUAAAUACUGGCCAGAGACCGAUAGCGCACAAGUAGAGUGAUCGAAAGAUGAAAAGCACUUUGGAAAGAGAGUCAAAUAGCACGUGAAAUUGUUGAAAGGGAAGCGCUUGCAGCCAGACUUGCCUGUAGUUGCUCAUCCGGGCUUUUGCCCGGUGCACUCUUCUGCGGGCAGGCCAAGCAUCAAGUUUGGGCGGUAUGGAUAAAGAUCUCUGUCAAUGUACCUCUUUUCGGGGAGGCCUUAUAGGGGAGAUGUCAUGCAACCAGCCUGGACUGAGGUCCGGCGCAUCUGCUAGGAUGCUGGCGUAAUGGCUGUAAGCGGCCCGUCUUGAAACACGG